RNAcentral lists this ribosomal RNA (253 nucleotides) under uncultured bacterium. Its description in RNAcentral is "partial 16S ribosomal RNA". It matches the Rfam family "Bacterial small subunit ribosomal RNA", at positions 524 to 776 of the family's 1533-position model. The record is from RNAcentral.
UACGUAGGGGGCAAGCGUUGUCCGGAAUCAUUGGGCGUAAAGCGCGCGUAGGCGGCCCGAUAAGUCCGCUGUGAAAGUCAAAGGCUCAACCUUUGAAUGCCGGUGGAUACUGUCGGGCUAGAGUCCGGAAGAGGCGAGUGGAAUUCCUGGUGUAGCGGUGGAAUGCGCAGAUAUCAGGAGGAACACCAGUAGCGAAGGCAGCUCGCUGGGACGGUACUGACGCUAAGGCGCGAAAGCGUGGGGAGCGAACAGG